Molecule: ribosomal RNA, 497 nt
Filed under: uncultured bacterium
Lineage: Bacteria
Description: partial 16S ribosomal RNA
Rfam family: Bacterial small subunit ribosomal RNA
Source: RNAcentral
GACGAACGCUGGCGGCGUGCUUAAUACAUGCAAGUCGAGCGCAAAAGGUUGGUACUUGUACCAACUGGAUGUGCAGCGCACGGGAGAGUAACGCGAGGGGCCUCUGCCUUUGAGUGGGGGACAACAUUUGGACACGAAUGCUAAUACCGCAUAAAAACUUUCAACACAGGUUUGAAGUUUGAAAGAUGCAAUUUCAUCACUCAAAGAUGCUCUCGCGUUGUAUUAGCUAGUUGGUGAGGUAAAGGCGCAUCAAGGCGAGGAUGCAUUGCCGACCUGAGAGGGUGAGCAGCCACAGUGGGACUGAGACACGGCCCAAAGUCCUACGGGAGGCAGCAGGAGGGAAACUGGAGCAAUGAGCGGAAGUCUGACCGAGCAACGCCGCGGGAGUGAAGAGGGUUGUCGGAUCGUAAAACUCUGUUGGUAGAGAAGAACGUUGGUGAGAGUGGAAAGCUCAGCAAGUGACGGUAACUACCCAGAAAGGGACGGCUAACUACGUG